Molecule: ribosomal RNA, 442 nt
Filed under: uncultured bacterium
Lineage: Bacteria
Description: partial 16S ribosomal RNA
Rfam family: Bacterial small subunit ribosomal RNA
Source: RNAcentral
CCUACGGGUGGCAGCAGUGGGGAAUAUUGGGCAAUGGACGCAAGUCUGACCCAGCAACGCCGCGUGAAGGAAGAAGGCUUUCGGGUUUUAAACUUCUUUUAAGGUGGAAGAGCAGAAGACGGUACCCCUUGAAUAAGCUACGGCUAACUACGUGCCAGCAGCCGCGGUAGUACGUAGGUGGCAAGCGUUGUCCGGAUUUACUGGGUGUAAAGGGCGUGCAGCCGGGGAGAUAAGUCAGAUGUGAAAUCCUGCGGCUUAACCGCAGAACUGCAUUUGAAACUGUUGUUCUUGAGUACUGGAGAGGCAGACGGAAUUCGUGGUGUAGCGGUGAAAUGCGUAGAUAUUAGGAGGAACACCAAUGGCGAAGGCAGUCUGCUGGACAGCAACUGACGCUGAGGCGCGAAAGUGUGGGGAGCAAACAGGAUUAGAUACCCUAGUAGUC